GGCCUUUUAGCUUAGCGGGACAAAGCAUCACGGCGAUUUUGGUCCGAAUAUGAGGUAGCAGGUUAAGCUGCCGUCGUAUUUGGACUGCUUUGCGUGAAGACCUGGGUUCAAGUCUCAGAGAGGCUA
This 126-nucleotide transfer RNA is filed under the name Athelia sp. TMB. Its description in RNAcentral is "tRNA-Gln". It matches the Rfam family "tRNA". From Rfam's summary of the family: Transfer RNA (tRNA) molecules are approximately 80 nucleotides in length. Their secondary structure includes four short double-helical elements and three loops (D, anti-codon, and T loops). Further hydrogen bonds mediate the characteristic L-shaped molecular structure. tRNAs have two regions of fundamental functional importance: the anti-codon, which is responsible for specific mRNA codon recognition, and the 3' end, to which the tRNAs corresponding amino acid is attached (by aminoacyl-tRNA synthetases). tRNAs cope with the degeneracy of the genetic code in two manners: having more than one tRNA (with a specific anti-codon) for a particular amino acid; and 'wobble' base-pairing, i.e. permitting non-standard base-pairing at the 3rd anti-codon position. The record is from RNAcentral. Lineage: Eukaryota; Fungi; Basidiomycota; Agaricomycetes; Atheliales; Atheliaceae.